RNAcentral lists this transfer RNA (76 nucleotides) under Planctomycetota bacterium. RNAcentral's name for it is "Planctomycetes bacterium tRNA-Asn". It matches the Rfam family "tRNA". Rfam says of the family: Transfer RNA (tRNA) molecules are approximately 80 nucleotides in length. The record is from RNAcentral. Lineage: Bacteria; Pseudomonadati; Planctomycetota.
UCCCCUGUAGCUCAGUUGGUAGAGCAGGCGGCUGUUAACCGCCUUGUCGUAGGUUCGAGUCCUACCGGGGGAGCUA